RNAcentral lists this ribosomal RNA (900 nucleotides) under uncultured Bacteroides sp. RNAcentral describes it as "bacterial SSU rRNA". It matches the Rfam family "Bacterial small subunit ribosomal RNA", at positions 505 to 1408 of the family's 1533-position model. The record is from RNAcentral. Lineage: Bacteria; Pseudomonadati; Bacteroidota; Bacteroidia; Bacteroidales; Bacteroidaceae.
GUCCCAGCAGCCGCGGUAAUACGGAGGAUGCGAGCGUUAUCCGGAUUUAUUGGGUUUAAAGGGUGCGUAGGCGGUUUGAUAAGUCAGUGGUGAAAGUUUUCAGCUUAACUGGAAAAAUGCCAUUGAUACUGUCAGGCUAGAAUAUGGUUGCUGUGAGUGGAAUGUGUGGUGUAGCGGUGAAAUGCUUAGAUAUCACACAGAAUAUCGAUUGCGAAGGCAGCUCACAAAGCCAUUAUUGACGCUGAGGCACGAAAGUGUGGGGAUCAAACAGGAUUAGAUACCCUGGUAGUCCACACUGUAAACGAUGAUAACUAGUUGUUGGCGAUACACAGUCAGUGACCAAGCGAAAGCGAUAAGUUAUCCACCUGGGGAGUACGACCGCAAGGUUGAAACUCAAAGGAAUUGACGGGGGCCCGCACAAGCGGAGGAACAUGUGGUUUAAUUCGAUGAUACGCGAGGAACCUUACCCGGGCUCGAACGGUGCAGGAAUAUGGUAGAGAUAUCAUAGCUAGCAAUAGUCUGUAUCGAGGUGCUGCAUGGUUGUCGUCAGCUCGUGCCGUGAGGUGUCGGCUUAAGUGCCAUAACGAGCGCAACCCUUGUCGUUAGUUGCCAUCAGGUCAAGCUGGGAACUCUAACGAGACUACCACCGUAAGGUGUGAGGAAGGGGGGGAUGACGUCAAAUCAGCACGGCCCUUACGUCCGGGGCGACACACGUGUUACAAUGGUAGGUACAGAGGGCCGCUAACCAGCGAUGGUGUGCAAAUCUCAAAAACCUAUCUCAGUUCGGAUCGGAGUCUGCAACUCGACUCCGUGAAGUUGGAUUCGCUAGUAAUCGCGCAUCAGCCAUGGCGCGGUGAAUACGUUCCUGGGCCUUGUACACACCGCCCGUCAAGCCAUGNA